CCUACGGGGGGCAGCAGUGGGGAAUAUUGCGCAAUGGGCGAAAGCCUGACGCAGCGACGCCGCGUGAGGGAUGAAGGUCUUCGGAUCUUAAACCUCUUUCAGCAGGGAAGAACGGUCACUGUGCUAAUCAGCAGUGAAUUGACUGUACCUGCAAAGGAAGCACCGGCUAACUCCGUGCCAGCAGCCGCGGUAAUACGGAGGGUGCGAGCGUUAAUCGGAAUUACUGGGUGUAAAGCGCUCGUAGGCGGUAUGUCAAGUCAAGGGUGAAAUGCCCGCGCUCAACUUGGGAAGUGCCUUUGAAACUGGAAAACUGGAGUGUGUGAGAGGAUAGUGGAAUUCCUGGUGUAGGAGUGAAAUCCGUAGAUAUCUGGAGGAACAUCAGUGGCGAAGGCGACUAUCUGGCACAUAACUGACGCUGAGGAGCGAAAGCGUGGGUAGCAAACAGGAUUAGAUACCCUUGUAGUC
Molecule: ribosomal RNA, 465 nt
Filed under: uncultured bacterium
Lineage: Bacteria
Description: partial 16S ribosomal RNA
Rfam family: Bacterial small subunit ribosomal RNA
Source: RNAcentral